This 292-nucleotide ribosomal RNA is filed under the name uncultured bacterium. RNAcentral's name for it is "partial 16S ribosomal RNA". It matches the Rfam family "Bacterial small subunit ribosomal RNA", at positions 505 to 796 of the family's 1533-position model. The record is from RNAcentral.
GUGUCAGCCGCCGCGGUAAUACGAAGGGUGCAAGCGUUGUUCGGAUUUAUUGGGCGUAAAGCGCGCGCAGGCGGGUCUGCAAGUCAGAUGUGAAAUCUCGGGGCUCAACCCCGAAACUGCGUCUGAAACUGCAAAUCUAGAAUGUCGGAGGGGGCAGGGGAAUUUCACGUGUAGGGGUAAAAUCCGUAGAGAUGUGAAGGAACACCGGAGGCGAAGGCGCCUGCCUGGACGACUAUUGACGCUGAGGCGCGAAAGCGUGGGGAGCAAACAGGAUUAGAAACCCUUGUAGUCC